CUGCGGCCGUUCCCGCGGCCUCCUCCUCCUCCCCGUUCCCUUCACCCCCACCCCGCACCCCUUUCCCCAUCCCGGCUCCGUCACCCUCCCGUCCCCCACACUCAGGACAAGAAUGCCCUGCCCGGAACAACCCAGCAGCGCCUAGAUGGCUUUGGUCACGGUCCAGCGGUCACCUACCCCCAGCACCACCUCCAGCCCCUGCGCCUCGAUGGGGACUUGCUUGGGGUCUUGCUGCCCAGGCUGGUCUUGAACUCGUGGCGUCAAGGGAUCCUCCUGUCUCAGCCUCCUAAAGAAUUGGGAUUAUAGUCAUGAGCCACUGUGACCGGCUACAAUUUUCAAGUCUACAAUAUAUUAUUAUUGACUGUAGAAACCAUAUUGUACAAUAGCUCUUCAUAACUUACUCCUCCUGUCUAAUGGAAACUUUGUACCCUUUGACCAUCAUCUCCUCCCCAUUCUCCCACCAAUCCCCAAUCUGGUGUGAAUUUUCUGAAUUGAUACCUAUAUUGAUCCAGGGUUAAAUAAAC
RNAcentral lists this long non-coding RNA (524 nucleotides) under Homo sapiens (human). RNAcentral's name for it is "HSALNT0239166". Lineage: Eukaryota; Metazoa; Chordata; Mammalia; Primates; Hominidae. The record is from RNAcentral.